UCGUGAUUAUAACCUGAGAGCAUUCAGUUCUAGAACUACAGACAGAGCCACCGAUUAAAAACAGGAUGUGGGUGAAUGCUCUACUGGUGGGGAUUGUGCUUUAGGAUGACAGCCCUUUCUCAAGACGAGAGACAGAGCACAAGCAAGGGAGGGGCAGAGAGAGA
Prionailurus viverrinus (fishing cat) is the source of this 164-nucleotide long non-coding RNA. RefSeq lists it as uncharacterized. NCBI's taxonomy places the organism in Eukaryota, Metazoa, Chordata, Mammalia, Carnivora, Felidae. The record is from RefSeq and is a predicted model, not a curated record. The transcript is spliced from 4 exons.